This 460-nucleotide ribosomal RNA is filed under the name uncultured bacterium. RNAcentral describes it as "partial 16S ribosomal RNA". It matches the Rfam family "Bacterial small subunit ribosomal RNA", at positions 338 to 795 of the family's 1533-position model. The record is from RNAcentral.
CCUACGGGUGGCUGCAGUGAGGAAUAUUGGUCAAUGGACGAGAGUCUGAACCAGCCAAGUAGCGUGAAGGAUGCCUGCCCUAUGGGUUGUAAACUUCUUUUAUAAAGGAAUAAAACGGGGCACGUGUGCAUUUUUGACUGUGAUUUAUGAAUACGGAUCGGCUAACUCCGUGCCAGCAGCCGCGGUAAUACGGAGGACCCGAGCGUUAUCCGGAUUUAUUGGGUUUAAAGGGAGCGUAGAUGGGUUGUUAAGUCAGUUGUUAAAGUUUGCGGAUAAACCGUAAAAUCGCAAUUGAGACUGGCAGUCUUGAGUACAGUUGCGGUAAGUGGAAUUCGUGGUGUAGCGGUGAAAUGCGUAGAUAUCACGAAGAACCCCGAUUGCGAAGGCAGCUUACUAAACUGUGACUGACAUUGAUGCUCGAAAGUGUGGGUAUCAAACAGGAUUAGAUACCCCAGUAGUC